RNAcentral lists this ribosomal RNA (468 nucleotides) under uncultured bacterium. Its description in RNAcentral is "partial 16S ribosomal RNA". It matches the Rfam family "Bacterial small subunit ribosomal RNA", at positions 28 to 507 of the family's 1533-position model. The record is from RNAcentral.
GACGAACGCUGGCGGCGUGCUUAACACAUGCAAGUCGAACGGAAAGGCCCUGCUUUUGUGGGGUGCUCGAGUGGCGAACGGGUGAGUAACACGUGAGUAACCUGCCCUUGACUUUGGGAUAACUUCAGGAAACUGGGGCUAAUACCGGAUAGGAGCUCCUGCUGCAUGGUGGGGGUUGGAAAGUUUCGGCGGUUGGGGAUGGACUCGCGGCUUAUCAGCUUGUUGGUGGGGUAGUGGCUUACCAAGGCUUUGACGGGUAGCCGGCCUGGGAGGGUGACCGGGCACAUUGGGACUGAGAUACGGCCCAGACGCGUACGGUAGGCAACAGUGGGGAAUAUUGCACAAUGAGCGGAAGCCUGAUGCAGCAGCGCCGCGUGCGGAAUGACGGCCUUCGGGGUAUAAACCGCUUUCGCCUGUUACGAAGCGGGAGUGACGGUAAUGAGUAAAGAAGCACCGGCUAACUACGUG